Long non-coding RNA from Thalassophryne amazonica, 555 nucleotides. RefSeq lists it as uncharacterized. The record is from RefSeq and is a predicted model, not a curated record. The transcript is spliced from 2 exons. NCBI's taxonomy places the organism in Eukaryota, Metazoa, Chordata, Actinopteri, Batrachoidiformes, Batrachoididae.
AUUUAUAUCUUUAUGAACCUCCUUUUAAUACACAGAUUAUGUAUCUGGGCUACAUCAUAUUGGACCAGAAAUACGGACAUGCCGUUGGAACAGUAUUUGUCAUGGACUGGGCUGUUUGGCUGGCUGUUGUUUUCUUUAUUUCCCACCAGGUGGCGCGCAAGCGGAACUGAGCAUCUGGAGACCUCAGCUGCAGCUCGUUUCCACCUGAUCAGGAGCUGCUGCAUUUAAAGCCUGGCGAUGCAGUUGUUCAUGGUCAGAGACUUGACAUUUGAUGAUAUUACAUGGCUGCUGAAGCUGACUUGUGUUUGAUGAUUAUGUUUCUGGUGAAGAGGAGAAUUUGCUGAGGAUGACUACUGUUCAGCCAUCAGACUGCACACUUCCUGAGAAACUCAGCUCCGUCGCGGCCACCUGGUGCCGGCUUCCCUCCUGGUCCAGUUCUCGCUGUGGCUUCUAGCUAUUCUACCGCCUGGAGCAGGCUGUGUCCUCCACUCUACAGACCGCUUGACUUGAUACUUUGUUUUGUUUAAUUGUGUGUAAUUAAAUAUCAGUUCUUCA